AGGCUAUCAAUUGCGUAAUCACUGAACAUUUAAAAAGGCAUGAUUGGAAAAUCAUCCAUUUAAAGUUUGUCAGCACCUAGUCUAAUUAGCAAGGUGUCCAUCAUAGUAUGAAAAGAGGGUGUAACCAUUACUCUGAAUUUCUAACAUGCACAAUAUGCUUUCUAUUGAUGACUGCCAUUCUAUGUGAAAGUCUUGUUAGAAAUGAAGGGAAGGAAAGAAAAAGACGUGGACAACAGAGGCUAGCAUGUUCAGUGUCUUCCGACACAAUAGUCCAGAGAUUGUGUCCUAACGAUACGGAAACCCGUAAUACACGUGCAAAAGAACUUGGUUGUGAAAAUAUCACUAACCAUUGUAAAGAUUCUAAAGAUUUUGUUUACCAUUGUGUUUUGAAUGAGUGGGGUAACGGCUCUUUAGA
Molecule: long non-coding RNA, 415 nt
Organism: Saccostrea cuccullata (small rock oyster)
Lineage: Eukaryota; Metazoa; Mollusca; Bivalvia; Ostreida; Ostreidae
Exons: 3
Source: RefSeq, a predicted model, not a curated record